UACGGGGGGGGCAAGCGUUGUUCGGAAUUACUGGGCGUAAAGGGCUCGUAGGCGGCCAAUUAAGUCAGACGUGAAAUCCCUCGGCUUAACCGGGGAACUGCGUCUGAUACUGGAUGGCUUGAAUCCGGGAGAGGGAUGCGGAAUUCCAGGUGUAGCGGUGAAAUGCGUAGAUAUCUGGAGGAACACCGGUGGCGAAGGCGGCAUCCUGGACCGGUAUUGACGCUGAGGAGCGAAAGCCAGGGGAGCAAACGGG
This 253-nucleotide ribosomal RNA is filed under the name uncultured bacterium. RNAcentral's name for it is "partial 16S ribosomal RNA". It matches the Rfam family "Bacterial small subunit ribosomal RNA", at positions 524 to 776 of the family's 1533-position model. The record is from RNAcentral.